RNAcentral lists this ribosomal RNA (429 nucleotides) under Pseudomonadota bacterium. Its description in RNAcentral is "Proteobacteria bacterium partial 16S ribosomal RNA". It matches the Rfam family "Bacterial small subunit ribosomal RNA", at positions 355 to 776 of the family's 1533-position model. Lineage: Bacteria; Pseudomonadati; Pseudomonadota. The record is from RNAcentral.
UGGGGAAUAUUGGACAAUGGGCGAAAGCCUGAUCCAGCCAUGCCGCGUGUGUGAAGAAGGUCUUCGGAUUGUAAAGCACUUUAAGUUGGGAGGAAGGGCAGUAAGCGAAUACCUUGCUGUUUUGACGUUACCGACAGAAUAAGCACCGGCUAAUUCUGUGCCAGCAGCCGCGGUAAUACAGAGGGUGCAAGCGUUAAUCGGAAUUACUGGGCGUAAAGCGCGCGUAGGUGGUUCGUUAAGUUGAAUGUGAAAGCCCCGGGCUCAACCUGGGAACUGCAUCCAAAACUGGCGAGCUAGAGUAGGGCAGAGGGUGGUGGAAUUUCCUGUGUAGCGGUGAAAUGCGUAGAUAUAGGAAGGAACACCAGUGGCGAAGGCGACCACCUGGGCUCAUACUGACACUGAGGUGCGAAAGCGUGGGGAGCAAACAGG